Mesocricetus auratus (golden hamster) is the source of this 613-nucleotide long non-coding RNA. RefSeq lists it as uncharacterized. The transcript has 2 exons. The record is from RefSeq and is a predicted model, not a curated record. NCBI's taxonomy places the organism in Eukaryota, Metazoa, Chordata, Mammalia, Rodentia, Cricetidae.
UUCGCAGGGAGGAACAUACAGCAACAUUACUGAAACUCUUUCAACUUUGGACUACCUCCUGUUCAGAGCUUUGAGCCGAAGUAGAAUGCCACAAAACUCCUUGGGUCCAUUUCAUUGUCUGCAAGAAUUUCACCUUCAGAAAUGCUCCCCCCUGUUACUAUGUACAGAAGCUCUGCAUGGCCGAAUUGAGAAGGCAAGAUGGCAUCCUGGACACUCAAGAGGAAUAUUAAUGGGUUGGAGCAGAUGAUGUGAUAAUUAUUGUCAACUACUUUUGUUUGUCCCCCAAUGCUAAAAUUUCCCUUUCCCUGUUUAUGAUUGUAUUCUUUGGUGUUUCCUGUUAAAACAGAAGCUUUGUACUACACUGUUAUAGGCUACAGGGCAAGGUUUCUACAUAUAGAUGCAUAGAAGACAGAAGAUGUAAACUUUCUAUUCCCUUUCAAAAGAUUGACAAGGAAACCAAGAAAAGAAAUAAAUAGUAAUGACUGGAGCUCGUUGAUUAGCCAGCCACACCCACUAUACCCAGAAAAGUUUAAGGAAAAUGUGGCCAGGCCAGAAAGAUAAUUUACUGUACAAACUAUGGCCACUCAUAAAAUAAAAGCAAGAAAAAUUGCAA